GGAAACGGUUGGUGGCAUUUGGGUUCACAAAAUAAACAGUAGGUUAACGAAACCGUAAUCACUCUCUUUCACUGCUCAAGUGCUCUUCAAUGGCUUCUCUUGUCGGUCCAUCUGCCGCCAUAUCUGUUAAACACAAGGUAUUAUUACCAAUUAUCUCAAUUCUUUCAAUUUAUGAUUUCUUUUGCACUUGACAAUCUCAGGAUUAUCAUACUCUGCCGUUUCUAUAAAGAAUCAAUGAUUUUAGUUUAUUUUUUGCUAAUCAAUUUCUAUAUCUAAUUAGAUAGUUUAUUUUUUGCUAGUUAAAUUCUAUAUCUAAUCAGAUAGGAAUAAUCAGUUUCUAUAAGGAAUCAAUGAAUUUCAUUUGAAAUAAAAAAAGGCUUUAUGAAUGUUGGUAUUUAUCAGUUUGUUUUUAUUUUAUUUUUUUUAAAUCGACGAUGUGUAUGAUGUAUCUGUUCGGUUCCUGAGAAAAUGUGUUCAAAAGAAGAGGAGGAAAACUUGGUCACGCGUAAAUUAGCUUUUCUAAUGAUAGGGAUGGGGGCUCCAUAUUUGAUCUUUUAUAUUAUGCAUAACAGCAUAGGUUAAGGUUAGCAUAGGUUAAGGUUAUUGAUGGCUAGCUCAUUGAAAGGAAUUAAAGAAGGUGGUUGGGGUCCCACUGUCUUAGCUGGUAAUAGCUGCAAUACUUAGAAAAAGAAGCUAUGGGAGUCUCCUGGAUUUGUGCUUGGCUGGGACCGCUGAUUCCCAAGUCAGAGCCGAUCCAAUUUUGAGGGAGAAAAUUGAGAGAAAUGAGAGUUAAGGGAGCAAAAAUGAUCAUCCAUUUUGUUUUACCUUAGGCCUUGUCGCUUUAAUGUAGGAGAGGAGGAGUAUGUUUUUUUUUUUGUUUAACUUUUGUCCACAUCAGUCUCAUUUCUUUUGUCAUUGUUCUUCAGCUAUGCUAAAGAAGAGCAAUUCAUGAGGCUGCAGUUAAUGUCUAAUACAAUUUAUCUGUCUUGUUGCCCUUGAUUAUUUUUGAAUCAUUGUCAAUGUUGCAGGUGAAUCCUCUUAGAAUCGGACCUAUAUCUACAAACUCACUAUCCCCUUUUUACCACUCUAUUGUUGGUAGUAAUAAGUUUCAUGAGCUUUCUUUCAAGACAAAAGCCAAACUGUCUGUUGAAGCUGAUGUAGUUGAGAAAGAAGCAAGGCAUGUCAAUGAGAAGAUAGGUAAUUCUUCUUGUAGUUUCCACUUUACUAGAUAGCAGUUCUCUUUCUAGGCUGUAUUGGAUUGAUGAAAGCAAGUACCAAGUAUUGGCCUUGCUUAAAGCAUUUUUUGAAGAAGAUUUGGAUGCAAUGUUGCUUAAUGAAUCAUUUCAGAAAGUAACCCUUCUCCUAGUAUUUGGAUGCAAUAUGCUCCCUCAAUCACCAAAAAGGAAACUAGUUGUAUAAUUAAAAAUUUGACAUGCUAUUGUCCAUGCUUCUUCAAAUUUGGGACAAUAGUUUAGAUCAUGUUGCUUUCCUUUGGAUAAAUGCUUGUUUACUUGUUUAUACGGAAGAAUGUAUUAUGUUAAUCAUGCAAACCAAGUUUGAGUUAGAAGUAACAAGGAGCAAUUGUGAUCCUCCUAAUGCAUUUUACCUUCAUGUUCCUAAAUGCACUCAGAAUGGGAUAAUUAAAUGCAAAAAAGCAAAUGUAUUUCCACACCCUCUUUCUCUAUGUGACUGCAUGCAUGUAUACAUCUAUGAUAUAUGGUAGCUUUUGACGUUCAAUGUAUAUAAAAUAGGUUCAAGAACAAAACUGCUAACAGUUGUUCCUUUUUGGGGAUAAACUUUAUCUUUUAAUCUAUUGGUGUGUCAUGUGUGCAGAUUAUGGGGUUGUUAGUGUUCACCAUGUUGGAGUGCUGUGUGAAAAUCUUGAACGGUCACUUGAAUUUUAUCAAGGCAUUUUAGGUCUUGAAAUAAAUGAGGCAAGGCCACAUGAUAAGCUUCCCUAUAGGGGUGCUUGGUUGUGGGUGGGUUCUGAAAUGAUCCACUUAAUGGAGCUUCCAAAUCCUGACCCCUUAACUGGACGACCUCAACAUGGUGGCCGAGACAGACAUACUUGCAUUGCUAUUCGCGAUGUGUCCAAGUUGAAGGCAAUCCUUGAUAAAGCUGGUACACUGUUCUCUUCCCAUCCCCAGUUAUCACUGCUUGCAUAAAAUAAAAUAAAAUCACAUUUUUGUGUAAUUAAGUCAGAGCAUGCCUAAAAUAUACAUGGCUCUUUAUUAUCUAAUGAAGUCAGGAUAGGAAAGUAUAUUUUGCAAAUAACUGUUUAGCUUACUUAUGGAAUGCUGAAUCUUUUAAUGUUUGCAGGAAUUCCCUACACACUUAGCCGGUCUGGGAGGCCUGCAAUCUUUACACGAGAUCCAGAUGCAAAUGCUCUAGAGUUCACUCAAGUCGAUAACUGAUAUUAUUACCCAUAGGUGGAAGAUUUUAAUAUGACCUUGGUGUUUGUCUACUCUCAAACACCAACAUGUAAAGAUUGCAAGUACCAGAUGUGCAGGAACAUGGAUUUAUGCACCUAUUUGAUAUACAAGAUCACAGGUUAUGAAUUAUGUGCCCCAAAUGUGCUUGCUGUUAUGUAGUAGACCCUGCAGAUAUCCUGUAACAAACAAAGAACACCAUUAGAGGAACUCAACAGAAUUAGUUCACCUGGUAAUAAUGGAAACUUCUCUUUCUUGUCAAUCAGGAUUUGACUUCAAGGGGAGCACUCCAAAAUUAGUUUCAUUGCGUGAAAAUUGGCCCAAGAAUACACU
This 2762-nucleotide unclassified non-coding RNA is filed under the name Hevea brasiliensis (rubber tree). Lineage: Eukaryota; Viridiplantae; Streptophyta; Magnoliopsida; Malpighiales; Euphorbiaceae. The record is from RNAcentral.